GAAAUUCAGAGUUUGUGCAACAUACAUGAACCAUGAUUGUGUCUCUGUCUCGUUUAGGUGAAUGGGUCCUUGUUUUCAUCCGCUGUCACCGAGAGCCUUUGACUUUGGGUCCAACAGGAAUUCUGUCAGAAUACGACGAUGUGACACGAUGAGGACAGUACAGGAGUUCAGCAGAAAUAUUAAGACAUGGACGGCGGUGUUUGCUGUGUUGCUCCUCAGCUCAUUUGUCUCCAACAGGCUCCAUCAGAUCAACUGACAGCUGCUGCCUUUCCAGGUACGGAAACAUUCAGAGUCACUCACACGUUGGUGCCAAACGGAGGUCGCUGACGUCAAGCCCGCGAUGUUAAGGUCACUUGACAGUCAUGUGAGGAUUGUCAGAGUAACAUGAACUGAAGUGUAAAUUGGUGCAAAAGUGCCUUCGAAGGCCUGUCAGCAUGACAUUGUAACCGGCUGAACAAAUGGCUCCUGGUCCCCAGCUGGUAAAAACUGGCACUGGAAAAAAGAG
Molecule: long non-coding RNA, 505 nt
Filed under: Betta splendens (Siamese fighting fish)
Lineage: Eukaryota; Metazoa; Chordata; Actinopteri; Anabantiformes; Osphronemidae
Description: lncRNA (ENSBSLG00000005535.1)
Source: RNAcentral